GAUGAACGCUAGCUACAGGCUUAACACAUGCAAGUCGAGGGGAAACGGCAUUAAGUGCUUGCACUUUUUGGACGUCGACCGGCGCACGGGUGAGUAACGCGUAUCCAACCUUCCCAUGACUAAGGGAUAACCUGCCGAAAGGCAGACUAAUACCUUAUGGUCUUCACUGACGGCAUCAGAUGUGAAGUAAAGAUUUAUCGGUUAUGGAUGGGGAUGCGUCUGAUUAGCUUGUUGGCGGGGUAACGGCCCACCAAGGCAACGAUCAGUAGGGGUUCUGAGAGGAAGGUCCCCCACAUUGGAACUGAGACACGGUCCAAACUCCUACGGGAGGCAGCAGUGAGGAAUAUUGGUCAAUGGGCGAGAGCCUGAACCAGCCAAGUAGCGUGCAGGAUGACGGCCCUAUGGGUUGUAAACUGCUUUUGUAUGGGGAUAAAGUCAAUCACAUGUGAUUGUUUGCAGGUACCAUACGAAUAAGGACCGGCUAAUUCCGUG
This 492-nucleotide ribosomal RNA is filed under the name uncultured bacterium. RNAcentral's name for it is "partial 16S ribosomal RNA". It matches the Rfam family "Bacterial small subunit ribosomal RNA", at positions 28 to 507 of the family's 1533-position model. The record is from RNAcentral.